ACACGACUACAUUAGAUACCCGUGUAGUCCUAGCCGUAAACGAUACUCGCUAGGUGUCGGCCACGGUGCGACCGUUGUCGGUGCCGUAGGGAAGCCGUGAAGCGAGCCACCUGGGAAGUACGGCCGCAAGGCUGAGACUUAAAGGAAUUGGCGGGGGAGCACAACAACGGGUGGAGCUUGCGGUUUAAUUGGAUUCAACGCCGGAAAUCUUACCGGGACCGACAGCAACAUGAAGGCCAAGCUGAAGACUUUGCCGGAUUAGCUG
This 265-nucleotide ribosomal RNA is filed under the name uncultured archaeon. RNAcentral describes it as "partial 16S ribosomal RNA". It matches the Rfam family "Archaeal small subunit ribosomal RNA", at positions 719 to 982 of the family's 1478-position model. The record is from RNAcentral.